Molecule: ribosomal RNA, 253 nt
Filed under: uncultured bacterium
Lineage: Bacteria
Description: partial 16S ribosomal RNA
Rfam family: Bacterial small subunit ribosomal RNA
Source: RNAcentral
UACAGAGGUCUCGAGCGUUAGGCGGAAUCACUGGGCUUAAAGCGCGUGUAGGCGGAUCGUUAAGUACCUUGUGAAAUCCCACGGCUUAACCGUGGAACGGCUGGGUAUACUGGCGGUCUUGAGGACUGGAGAGGAGACUGGAAUUCAUGGUGUAGCAGUGAAAUGCGUAGAGAUCAUGAGGAAGACCAGUGGCGAAGGCGGGUCUCUGGACAGUUCCUGACACUGAGGCACGAAGGCCAGGGGAGCAAACGGG